GAACGCUGGCGGCAUGCCUAAUACAUGCAAGUCGAGCGAACAGAUGAAGUGCUUGCACUUCUGACGUUAGCGGCGAACGGGUGAGUAACACGUAAGGAAUCUACCUAUAAGCGGGGGAUAACAUUCGGAAACGGGUGCUAAUACCGCAUAAUAUCUUCUUCCGCAUGGAAGAAGAUUGAAAGACGGCUCUGCUGUCACUUAUAGAUGACCUUGCGGUGCAUUAGUUAGUUGGUGGGGUAAUGGCCUACCAAGACGAUGAUGCAUAGCCGACCUGAGAGGGUGAUCGGCCACAUUGGGACUGAGACACGGCCC
This 312-nucleotide ribosomal RNA is filed under the name uncultured Aerococcus sp. RNAcentral describes it as "bacterial SSU rRNA". It matches the Rfam family "Bacterial small subunit ribosomal RNA", at positions 31 to 332 of the family's 1533-position model. The record is from RNAcentral. Lineage: Bacteria; Bacillati; Bacillota; Bacilli; Lactobacillales; Aerococcaceae.